Molecule: long non-coding RNA, 1462 nt
Organism: Salvia miltiorrhiza (redroot sage)
Lineage: Eukaryota; Viridiplantae; Streptophyta; Magnoliopsida; Lamiales; Lamiaceae
Exons: 6
Source: RefSeq, a predicted model, not a curated record
GUGGAGUAGCAGCAGAAAUGGGCGCUCCAUUUUCUCUCACUUCCUAAUCCUCUCCAACGCUCCUCCGCGCUCCAUCGUCUCACUGCCGCUCGGUGUUCGUCUCGGCAAAUGCUUGAGCAGAGCUGCUGGAAUCCACGCGUCGCGGCGGAUGAGGAUCGGCGAGAGUCUGUGCUGCCUCUGCAGCCUUGCAGUGUCGGAGCAUUCGACUUCGCAGACUUCGUCUAGCUCCGUGAAAAUACAUAUGAGACACUCUUUUUCAUUGUGGACCUCCAUGCAGUACGCUCGGUUUCCUACAUGAUUUGAGUAUCAUACAUUCUGUAUUAUGAUAGCUCCCUGUAUGAAUAAUUUUAUUAAAACACAGUGCUUUGAAACUUAUGAUAUGGGAGUAUAUAUUUUUAAAGUAGGUUAAACGCGGUUGAUUUACUUUAAACUGAUAGAUAACUUUGCCGUAUGAUGCACAAGAAUUAUCUAAAGCUACUACUGCAGCUCUUUAUUUAGCAUGUGGUGUGGAUCCUUCCAAGGUUUCAUGUUGCGGAGAAGAGGUUAAAGCUAAAGCAAGAACUCGGCUCACUUAUCUAUCGUUGGCGAUUCAACCUCAUGGGAGAGGAGGUUUCACUUUCUUGGACUGAAGACGAGGAGGGGAUAUUCAGGGACAAUAUGAAGCUGUAUGCUACUUUCUUGAGCAAGUUCUGGAACAAUGCUUGGAGGUUCUUGCCUUCCAAACCGAGGGACAAUUUGGUUAGCUACUACUUCAACGUCUACCUUGUCCAGCGCAGAAGCUAUCAGAACCGGGUAAAUCGGGAAGAUGUUGAUAGUGAUGAUGACGAAAAAGUUUGUGGGUUGAUUGGUGGCUGCUUUGGACAUAAAGCACUUUAUAUACCUCGGCCUAGUUCCAUUUCGUGUACACUCAACACGGAGUCGACAGAAUUCGUGUAGUCGAAUCACAAGUGAUUUGAUGGUUGUUGAAGUUAUGGAAGUGGAAGUUCCAACAUAUUUUGAUCAAGUUUUGGUUGGGUUGUAAAUACCUCUGUAGUGAAGCCAAGUUAACCAGUUUUGGUUUCAGUUGCUUCUUGUUAGCAAGGCUCUGUCUCUCUCUGGAUCACAUAAGCUCAUCAAUUUUUAUUUUUUAAGCAGGAGUUUGAUAACUCCAACCUAGGUGGGAAUCAGCAACCAAACUAAACAUAUGUUACCUUUUAUCAUUGGAAGACUUGUGUGAAAAUCCUUGUUCAGAGACUGGUUAAGAUUUGGAUCCAAACACAUAUUCAAUGGCAUCAAUGUGAGUGUCAUCGAAUCGAGCCAAACUGAAUAAUGGUGUUCUCAAAUUUGGUUUGUUUAGUGUCGAGCCGAAUCCCGAACUUUAUUUACCGAAUACUUUGAAGUUUACAAGCUUAAUCGAGCUUAUAUGAACUUUCUAAAUUUAAAUUUAUAUUCAAUAUAUUUAUUAUCUUCUUUUGAAAAUAAA